UAAGUCUCAGUUCGGAUUGAAGGCUGAAAUUCGCCUUCAUGAAGCCGGAAUUGCUAGUAAUGGCAGGUCAGCAUACUGCCGUGAAUACGUUCCCGGGCCUUGUACACACCGCCCGUCACACCAUGAGAGUUGGGAAUACCCGAAGCCUGUGAGCUAACUAUACGAGGCAGCAGUCGAAGGUAGAAUCAAUGAUUGGGGUGAAGUCGUAACAAGGUAUC
RNAcentral lists this ribosomal RNA (218 nucleotides) under uncultured bacterium. RNAcentral describes it as "partial 16S ribosomal RNA". It matches the Rfam family "Bacterial small subunit ribosomal RNA", at positions 1282 to 1500 of the family's 1533-position model. The record is from RNAcentral.